Non-coding RNA from Dermacentor albipictus, 200 nucleotides. NCBI's taxonomy places the organism in Eukaryota, Metazoa, Arthropoda, Arachnida, Ixodida, Ixodidae. The record is from RefSeq and is a predicted model, not a curated record.
CACCAAGUACAAGCCGUGACGGUACCCAGGGCGCUUCAUCUACUUUGGGCGCAUACAGAACGAUUUCUGACGACACCUUGCGCUACCCGGGGAACACGCAGCACACGCCCACGAUCGACGAGACUUGCAACGUCGACGGAAUGCUAUUGAAACCGGAGGAAGAGAGCAGCAAGUGUCCUGCGAUGCCAGUAGGAAGGUUU